CCCUCAGUUUAGUUGUUGUACUGGUGAGAAGAGAUUCUUCAGCAGGCUCCACUUUCACCAGGCUGACUCCGAGAGAGGGUGGAGCCGUGGACAACACGGGCGUUCCUUUGUCACAUUACGCACGCCCCGCGCUCACUGCUGUAGCUGGCGGAGAGGAGAAAGGAGAGAGGAGAAAGAAGAGAGGUAGAGGCAGUGGAGCUGCCACGCGAGUGCUUAGAAUGGGUCGCGUGCCAGUCUAAUCGCAACAGGUGUUCGGCGCCUCGAGCUGCUCGGAUUCUCUGUUCUGGAAACGCCCGGAUUCAAUAAUAUACUCUUCACCUGCUUUGAAUUUGUACAAUACACUGAGAAAAGUUAAGCUCGGCAUGUGUAGCCAAUCAGCGACGUCACUUCCCGUAUUGAUGACAUAUACAUGGAAUGUGUAGCCAUGUGAUUGGCCAGAUACACGCUUGAUGAUUUCUGAUAUGUUAUCUAUAUCACCAGAUGGUUAUAUUGCAUGGAAAUGCCACUGCUCAUUUUGUGCAAGUCUCCACACAUACAGAGAGACCUUUGUCAUGAUGAGCAUUGAUUGGAAAAAUAACAAGUCCUAUCCUAAAGCAUAUACA
This 602-nucleotide long non-coding RNA is filed under the name Salmo salar (Atlantic salmon). RNAcentral describes it as "lncRNA (ENSSSAG00000092418.1)". Lineage: Eukaryota; Metazoa; Chordata; Actinopteri; Salmoniformes; Salmonidae. The record is from RNAcentral.